CUGUCAGUCUUUUACUUUCUCAGUUUGAACCUGCGGAAAGACUUAAAGGUCUAAAACGUAAUGCACUAACCAAUUCUCAUUCCAAUAUACUUGAGUUUGCUGUCUUGAAGAGUUGGCUAUCUGCUUUUUAUCGUGCUAAGUAUGGACACCCUUUGGCUUCAUAUUGUGAACCCCUUCUAGUUGAAGGCCUCGAGGACAAGAAGGAAGAUCAAGUCAUUGAUGCAAAUGACUUCAGCAUACCCAUUGAGGUUCCCAUUCAGGGUCCAUCAGAAGAAAUUCCUAAUUCUGGAUCUUCAAAGUUUCCUAUGACUGCCUGCGACAAGAUUUAUCAGAAGAGGAAGCAGAAAAGUGUGGCUGAACUUAUGGGAGAGAACGCCAAGCCCAAAGGUAAGAAGACAACUGAAGACGAUUCUACACCUUCGUCUGUAGAAACAUCUGAGAAGAAAAGGAAGAAGUCUGGUGAGAAAGCUAAAGGUCAAACUGGCAGCUCGAUGAGUGUUGAUGAAAAAAUUGGUAAGAGGG
Molecule: unclassified non-coding RNA, 522 nt
Filed under: Hevea brasiliensis (rubber tree)
Lineage: Eukaryota; Viridiplantae; Streptophyta; Magnoliopsida; Malpighiales; Euphorbiaceae
Source: RNAcentral